RNAcentral lists this ribosomal RNA (507 nucleotides) under uncultured bacterium. RNAcentral's name for it is "partial 16S ribosomal RNA". It matches the Rfam family "Bacterial small subunit ribosomal RNA", at positions 28 to 507 of the family's 1533-position model. The record is from RNAcentral.
GACGAACGCUGGCGGCGUGCCUAAUACAUGCAAGUCGAACGCAUUUUCUUUCACCGUAGCUUGCUACACCGAAAGAAAAUGAGUGGCGAACGGGUGAGUAACACGUGGGUAACCUGCCCAUCAGCGGGGGAUAACACUUGGAAACAGGUGCUAAUACCGCAUAAUUCCAUUUACCGCAUGGUAAAUGGAUGAAAGGCGCUUUUGCGUCACUGAUGGAUGGACCCGCGGUGCAUUAGCUAGUUGGUGGGGUAACGGCCUACCAAGGCUGCGAUGCAUAGCCGACCUGAGAGGGUGAUCGGCCACACUGGGACUGAGACACGGCCCAGACUCCUACGGGAGGCAGCAGUAGGGAAUCUUCGGCAAUGGACGCAAGUCUGGCCGAGCAACGCCGCGUGAGUGAAGAAGGUUUUCGGAUCGUAAAACUCUGUUGUUAGAGAAGAACAAGGAUGAGAGUGGAAAGUUCAUCCCUUGACGGUAUCUAACCAGAAAGCCACGGCUAACUACGUG